UUAAGAGCUUGCUCUUAUGAAGUUAGCGGCGGACGGGUGAGUAACACGUGGGUAACCUGCCCAUAAGACUGGGAUAACUCCGGGAAACCGGGGCUAAUACCGGAUAACAUUUUGAACCGCAUGGUUCGAAAUUGAAAGGCGGCUUCGGCUGUCACUUAUGGAUGGACCCGCGUCGCAUUAGCUAGUUGGUGAGGUAACGGCUCACCAAGGCAACGAUGCGUAGCCGACCUGAGAGGGUGAUCGGCCACACUGGGACUGAGACACGGCCCAGACUCCUACGGGAGGCAGCAGUAGGGAAUCUUCCGCAAUGGACGAAAGUCUGACGGAGCAACGCCGCGUGAGUGAUGAAGGCUUUCGGGUCGUAAAACUCUGUUGUUAGGGAAGAACAAGUGCUAGUUGAAUAAGCUGGCACCUUGACGGUACCUAACCAGAAAGCCACGGCUAACUACGUGCCAGCA
Molecule: ribosomal RNA, 458 nt
Filed under: Bacillus cereus
Lineage: Bacteria; Bacillati; Bacillota; Bacilli; Caryophanales; Bacillaceae
Description: bacterial SSU rRNA
Rfam family: Bacterial small subunit ribosomal RNA
Source: RNAcentral